Long non-coding RNA from Suricata suricatta (meerkat), 740 nucleotides. RefSeq lists it as uncharacterized. NCBI's taxonomy places the organism in Eukaryota, Metazoa, Chordata, Mammalia, Carnivora, Herpestidae. The record is from RefSeq and is a predicted model, not a curated record. The transcript is spliced from 4 exons.
CUGGGUGGAGGUGAGGCCCUCCGAGGCCUUCGGGCGCCAGCCGCCCACGUUCCACAGAGUCUGAGCUUUCUCCUCACCUCUUUUUUGGUGCCCAGGUUUCCUGUCCUUGAGGACCCCGGCCUGGCGUUCCUGGUACAGCAACUUGGUGAGGAGCUGUAGAAAUUGAGAAGGGGCUUCACAUUAUGUUCAGGCUCCUCUUUUCCUCUGUUACUUUUGGUGACUUCCUGGUGAAACGUGAAGGAAAGGAGACUGCCAAUGACAGCUGGCUACAGAAUCUAUGCGUGGAGCCUAAGAAGUAAUGCUCGUGUGGGUUAGCGUUUAAUUGCUGCGCAAUCCCAAAUCCGCCCUUUUUGACUGGACCAUUAAAAUGGAUCUGGGCCCUUUUAAGCAUCUCAUGUUUCCCAUUGGCAUCAAUUAAAUAGUGGCAGGCCCAAGACCCUUCGCAGAUCUUGAAACUACUUGCCUACCUAAGGGAAUCUUGACGUUGUUUGCUUAAUCUUCACAUACCUUUGCUUUUCCUUCCAUGAAAAGAAACUGAAAAAGAGGAUAAGUCAAGUAACAGCACACUUCUGAGAAGGUAUUGCUGGCAAGGAAGAGGUCAUCCACAUACUGGAGAAGGGUGCAGUGUGUGGCCUCCCUUGGAAAGCUGGCGAGGUCUCCAGCCAGAGCCUCCUCAGUGAGGGUGGGAAAAGAUCCAGGGCCAUCCGAGCGGGUGCAAAUCUGGAACCAACUGUCCAGGU